GAUGAACGCUAGCGAUAGGCUUAACACAUGCAAGUCGAGGGGCAGCAUGGUCUUAGCUUGCUAAGGCUGAUGGCGACCGGCGCACGGGUGCGUAACGCGUAUGCAACUUGCCUCACAGAGGGGGAUAACCCGUCGAAAGACGGACUAAUACCGCGUACACUCUAUGUUGGGCAUCCAAUGUAGAGGAAAUGAAAUUCGCUGUGAGAUAGGCAUGCGUCCCAUUAGCUAGUUGGUGAGGUAACGGCUCACCAAGGCGACGAUGGGUAGGGGAACUGAGAGGUUGAACCCCCACACUGGUACUGAGACACGGACCAGACUCCUACGGGAGGCAGCAGUGAGGAAUAUUGGUCAAUGGGCGAGAGCCUGAACCAGCCAAGUCGCGUGAAGGAUGACUGUCUUAUGGAUGGUAAACUUCUUUUAUACGGGAAUAACAAGAGUCACGGAUGGCUCCCUGCAUGUACCGUAUGAAUAAGCAUCGGCUAACUCCGUG
Molecule: ribosomal RNA, 490 nt
Filed under: uncultured bacterium
Lineage: Bacteria
Description: partial 16S ribosomal RNA
Rfam family: Bacterial small subunit ribosomal RNA
Source: RNAcentral